UUCAGGUGGUGUUUGUUUCCAGGGACUUUUUGUGGUAGGGACUAAAAAAGUCCCAAAAAGUCCCAUGUGAAACAAACAGGAAUGACUAUUAGGGACUAAAGUGGGGUGUUUGGGACUAUUUGGAGAAGUACCUAUGUGAGGGAUUUUUUAGCACUUUUUCCAACAAUGCUCCUACUUUUAGCAUGUAAUUUAAUAACUACUACUACAUUACAAAGGAUAAC
RNAcentral lists this long non-coding RNA (221 nucleotides) under Hordeum vulgare. Its description in RNAcentral is "long non-coding RNA (HVUL_LNC010788)". The record is from RNAcentral. Lineage: Eukaryota; Viridiplantae; Streptophyta; Magnoliopsida; Poales; Poaceae.